AUGACUAAGGAUAACUUAGCCAAAAGAGAUAUUGAGAAACCCCCUGAAUGUGUCUACUGUACUGAUAAUGAAACCAUUGACCAUCUUUUCUUCGGAUGUGUAGUAGCCAAAAGUAUUUGGAAAUAGGUCUCAGAUCUAUUUUCUCUCGACCUGGGUUCAGAUUACCUCUCUGUUGCCAGGUUUUGGCCUGCCAACAAAAAACACACAGUGUUAAAUUCAGUAUGUGCAUGCAUUCUUUGGUCUUUGUGGAAAAAUAGAAAUGCUCAUGUGUUUAAUAACGCUGUGUGGAUUGACUUGAAACAGAUUUGGAGGAAAGUGUUGGGAUCAUUGAGGAGAUGGGCGAUCUUGCUCAAAGAGGAAAUGGUGCCUCUAUGGGACAAGAUAUCACACCAUAUUUCCUUGAUCUUGGAAUCACCGUUCCAAAUUCUGGUGGGGUGA
This 438-nucleotide ribosomal RNA is filed under the name Triticum aestivum (bread wheat). Its description in RNAcentral is "partial small subunit ribosomal RNA". The record is from RNAcentral. Lineage: Eukaryota; Viridiplantae; Streptophyta; Magnoliopsida; Poales; Poaceae.